This 67-nucleotide transfer RNA is filed under the name Thaumetopoea aff. pityocampa ENA. Its description in RNAcentral is "transfer RNA-Val". It matches the Rfam family "tRNA". From Rfam's summary of the family: Transfer RNA (tRNA) molecules are approximately 80 nucleotides in length. Their secondary structure includes four short double-helical elements and three loops (D, anti-codon, and T loops). Further hydrogen bonds mediate the characteristic L-shaped molecular structure. tRNAs have two regions of fundamental functional importance: the anti-codon, which is responsible for specific mRNA codon recognition, and the 3' end, to which the tRNAs corresponding amino acid is attached (by aminoacyl-tRNA synthetases). tRNAs cope with the degeneracy of the genetic code in two manners: having more than one tRNA (with a specific anti-codon) for a particular amino acid; and 'wobble' base-pairing, i.e. permitting non-standard base-pairing at the 3rd anti-codon position. The record is from RNAcentral. Lineage: Eukaryota; Metazoa; Arthropoda; Insecta; Lepidoptera; Notodontidae.
CAAAUUAGAGCUUAGGUUUAAGUAUUUCAUUUACAUUGAAAAGAUAUUAUUUGAUUAAUUAAUUUGG